This 253-nucleotide ribosomal RNA is filed under the name uncultured bacterium. RNAcentral describes it as "partial 16S ribosomal RNA". It matches the Rfam family "Bacterial small subunit ribosomal RNA", at positions 524 to 776 of the family's 1533-position model. The record is from RNAcentral.
UACGUAGGGUGCGAGCGUUGUCCGGAAUUACUGGGCGUAAAGAGCUCGUAGGUGGUUUGUCGCGUUGUUCGUGAAAACCUGAGGCUUAACCUUGGGCGUGCGGGCGAUACGGGCAGACUGGAGUACUGCAGGGGAGACUGGAAUUCCCGGUGUAGCGGUGGAAUGCGCAGAUAUCAGGAGGAACACCGGUGGCGAAGGCGGGUCUCUGGGCAGUAACUGACGCUGAGGAGCGAAAGCGUGGGGAGCGAACAGG